This 513-nucleotide ribosomal RNA is filed under the name uncultured bacterium. RNAcentral describes it as "bacterial SSU rRNA". It matches the Rfam family "Bacterial small subunit ribosomal RNA", at positions 501 to 1016 of the family's 1533-position model. The record is from RNAcentral.
CUACGUGCCAGCAGCCGCGGUAAUACGGAAGGUUCGGGCGUUAUCCGGAUUUAUUGGGUUUAAAGGGAGCGUAGGCCGGAGAUUAAGUGUGUUGUGAAAUGUAGACGCUCAACGUCUGACUUGCAGCGCAUACUGGUUUCCUUGAGUACGCACAACGUUGGCGGAAUUCGUCGUGUAGCGGUGAAAUGCUUAGAUAUGACGAAGAACUCCGAUUGCGAAGGCAGCUGACGGGAGCGCAACUGACGCUGAAGCUCGAAGGUGCGGGUAUCGAACAGGAUUAGAUACCCUGGUAGUCCGCACAGUAAACGAUGGAUGCCCGCUGUUGGUACCUGGUAUCAGCGGCUAAGCGAAAGCAUUAAGCAUCCCACCUGGGGAGUACGACCGCAAGGUUGAAACUCAAAGGAAUUGACGGGGGCCCGCACAAGCGGUGGAGCAUGUGGUUUAAUUCGAAGCAACGCGAAGAACCUUACCAGGUCUUGACAUCCCGAUGCUAUUUCUAGAGAUAGAAAGUUA